Molecule: long non-coding RNA, 1442 nt
Organism: Gossypium arboreum
Lineage: Eukaryota; Viridiplantae; Streptophyta; Magnoliopsida; Malvales; Malvaceae
Exons: 2
Source: RefSeq, a predicted model, not a curated record
GGUAAGAUUAUUGCAAUUAUAGAAUAAUUAACUUGUGUAGAUUAGGAAAUUAUUAAAUUAUUACUAGAUUGUUGGGCUGCUAUUACCUAUAUAUAAGUGUUGUAUCACAAUUAUAAAGAUAUAAGAAAUAAUAUUUUUUCUUAUUUUCUAUCUAGUUUCUAUUUGGUAUUAGGGCUGGAAUUUUUUUCCUUUAACUCUUAUAGAAACCCUAAAAAUAUUUUCAUUAGUUCUUAGCCAUGUCAGAAACUUCAUCAAACUCUACUUUCUCAUUUGCCCAACCAAAAUCUAUUGGAAAUCUUGUUUCCAACUCUGAAUCGCAUUAUCACCAAUAUCAAAUUAAAUGGUGAUAAUUUUUUGCAUUGGUCUCAAUCCGUCCGAAUGUAUAUUUGGGGGCGAGGAAAGAUUGGCUACUUGACAGGAGAUAAGGAAGCACCGGCAAAGGAGGACCCCUCUUAUGCUCUUUGGUAGGCUGAAAAUUCCAUGGAGGAAGAUAUUAGUUCCAACUAUAUGUGCUAUUCUACAACCAAAGAACUCUGGGAUAAUGUUAAUCAAAUAUAUUCUGAUUUGGGAAAUUCGUCAAGGAGAGGACAAUGUCACCAAGUAUUUCAAUUCAUUGAAAUGGUUAUGGUAAGAUUUGGAUUUGUUUAAUGAUUAUGAAUGGAGGUCUCCAUAAAAUUGCUUAAACUAUAAAAAGAUGGCAAAAGAUAAUCGCAUUUACAAAUUUCUUGCUGGAUUAAAUGUUGAAUUUGAUGAAGUAAGGGGGAGAAAUAUAGGUCGACAGCCUCUACCUCCCAUUGGUGAAGUAUUUGCAUAAGUUAGAAGAGAAGAAAGUUGCAGAAAUGGGAUGCUUGGAAAAAGGGAGACUGUUGUACCACUUGAGAGUUCAGCCCUAAUGACUUCUGAUGCCAAUAAAGCCUAGCUGAGGCAGCAAGGACAAAACUCUCAAGUGUGGUGUGAUUUCUGCAAAAAACCACACCAUACUCAAGAAACUUGCUUGAAAAUUCAUGGCAAUCCAACAACUUGGAAGGGUAAAAGAUCAAGCGAUAAGCCUAAUAGUGCUUUUUCCUCUACAAGUGAAGCUGAGACAGGUCCGUUCAAUAGGGAGCACCUAGAUCAACUUCUAAAACUGCUAAAAUCCAAUUCCUCAUCUAGUAUUCCUAGUGCUGCUUUUGCUCAAACAGUUCGGGACCGAAACUCGGGGAGGAUGAUUGGCAGUGUUAGGAUGAUCGACGACCUAUAUUAUUUUGAUGAUUAUUGUUUUGCGAAUAAAACAAUUCAAGGCUUGAGUGGUAUUAGUUCAAGUUCUAUUCGUGACCAAAUUAUGCUUUGGCAUCAUAGAUUAGGAAAUCCUAUUUUUUCUUAUCUAAAAUACUUGUUUCCAGAUAUGUUUAAAAUUUUGAAUGGUUCUUCUUUUUAAUGUGAGAGUUGUGUUUUAUCUAAAA